UACGGAGGGGGUUAGCGUUGUUCGGAAUGACUGGGCGUAAAGCGCGCGUAGGCGGACCAUCAAGUCGGGGGUGAAAUCCCGGGGCUCAACCCCGGAAUGGCCUUCGAGACUGGUGGUCUUGAGUUCGAGAGAGGUGAGUGGAAUUCCGAGUGUAGAGGUGAAAUUCGUAGAUAUUCGGAGGAACACCAGUGGCGAAGGCGGCUCACUGGCUCGACACUGACGCUGAGGUGCGAAAGCAUGGGGAGCGAACAGG
This 253-nucleotide ribosomal RNA is filed under the name uncultured prokaryote. RNAcentral's name for it is "partial 16S ribosomal RNA". It matches the Rfam family "Bacterial small subunit ribosomal RNA", at positions 524 to 776 of the family's 1533-position model. The record is from RNAcentral.